Molecule: ribosomal RNA, 784 nt
Filed under: Streptomyces sp. HXLW-R121
Lineage: Bacteria; Bacillati; Actinomycetota; Actinomycetes; Kitasatosporales; Streptomycetaceae
Description: bacterial SSU rRNA
Rfam family: Bacterial small subunit ribosomal RNA
Source: RNAcentral
GUCGAACGAUGAACCUCUUUCGGGAGGGGAUUAGUGGCGAACGGGUGAGUAACACGUGGGCAAUCUGCCCUGCACUCUGGGACAAGCCCUGGAAACGGGGUCUAAUACCGGAUAUGACCACCGGCCGCAUGGUCUGGUGGUGGAAAGCUCCGGCGGUGCAGGAUGAGCCCGCGGCCUAUCAGCUUGUUGGUGGGGUGAUGGCCUACCAAGGCGACGACGGGUAGCCGGCCUGAGAGGGCGACCGGCCACACUGGGACUGAGACACGGCCCAGACUCCUACGGGAGGCAGCAGUGGGGAAUAUUGCACAAUGGGCGCAAGCCUGAUGCAGCGACGCCGCGUGAGGGAUGACGGCCUUCGGGUUGUAAACCUCUUUCAGCAGGGAAGAAGCGCAAGUGACGGUACCUGCAGAAGAAGCACCGGCUAACUACGUGCCAGCAGCCGCGGUAAUACGUAGGGUGCGAGCGUUGUCCGGAAUUAUUGGGCGUAAAGAGCUCGUAGGCGGCUUGUCGCGUCGGAUGUGAAAGCCCGGGGCUUAACCCCGGGUCUGCAUUCGAUACGGGCAGGCUGGAGUUCGGCAGGGGAGAUUGGAAUUCCUGGUGUAGCGGUGAAAUGCGCAGAUAUCAGGAGGAACACCGGUGGCGAAGGCGGAUCUCUGGGCCGAUACUGACGCUGAGGAGCGAAAGCGUGGGGAGCGAACAGGAUUAGAUACCCUGGUAGUCCACGCCGUAAACGUUGGGCACUAGGUGUGGGCGACAUUCCACGUCGUCCGUGCCGCAGCUAACG